GCAUAUCAAUAAGCGGAGGAAAAAGAAACCAACAGGGAUUGCCCUAGUAACGGCGAGUGAAGCGGCAACAGCUCAAAUUUGAAAUCUGGCUCUCGGGCCCGAGUUGUAAUUUGUAGAGGAUACUUUUGAUGCGGUGCCUUCCGAGUUCCCUGGAACGGGACGCCAUAGAGGGUGAGAGCCCCGUCUGGUUGGAUGCCAAAUCUCUGUAAAGUUCCUUCAACGAGUCGAGUAGUUUGGGAAUGCUGCUCUAAAUGGGAGGUAUAUGUCUUCUAAAGCUAAAUACUGGCCAGAGACCGAUAGCGCACAAGUAGAGUGAUCGAAAGAUGAAAAGCACUUUGAAAAGAGAGUUAAAAAGUACGUGAAAUUGUUGAAAGGGAAGCGUUUAUGACCAGACUUGGGCUUGGUUAAUCAUCUGGGGUUCUCCCCAGUGCACUUUUCCAGUCCAGGCCAGCAUCAGUUUUCCCCGGGGGAUAAAGGCGGCGGGAAUGUGGCUCUCUUCGGGGAGUGUUAUAGCCCGUCGUGUAAUACCCUGGGGGGGACUGAGGUUCGCGCAUCUGCAAGGAUGCUGGCGUAAUGGUCAUCAACGACCCGUCUUGAAACACGGACCAAGGAGUCGUCUUCGUAUGCGAGUGUUCGGGUGUCAAACCCCUACGCGUAAUGAAAGUGAACGCAGGUGAGAGCUUCGGCGCAUCAUCGACCGAUCCUGAUGUUCUCGGAUGGAUUUGAGUAAGAGCAUACGGGGCCGGACCCGAAAGAAGGUGAACUAUGCCUGUAUAGGGUGAAGCCAGAGGAAACUCUGGUGGAGGCUCGCAGCGGUUCUGACGUGCAAAUCGAUCGUCAAAUAUGGGCAUAGGGGCGAAAGACUAAUCGAACCUUCUAGUAGCUGGUUUCCGCCGAAG
Molecule: ribosomal RNA, 899 nt
Filed under: Fusarium oxysporum
Lineage: Eukaryota; Fungi; Ascomycota; Sordariomycetes; Hypocreales; Nectriaceae
Description: LSU rRNA
Rfam family: Eukaryotic large subunit ribosomal RNA
Source: RNAcentral